GAAUGCUGACAUAAGUAACGAUAAAGCGGGUGAAAAGCCCGCUCGCCGGAAGACCAAGGGUUCCUGUCCAACGUUAAUCGGGGCAGGGUGAGUCGACCCCUAAGGCGAGGCCGAAAGGCGUAGUCGAUGGGAAACGGGUUAAUAUUCCCGUACUUGGUGUUACUGCGAAGGGGGGACGGAGAAGGCUAUGUUGGCCGGGCGACGGUUGUCCCGGUUUAAGCGUGUAGGUGUGUGUUCCAGGUAAAUCCGGUUCACUUUAACACUGAGGCGUGACGACGAGGCACUACGGUGCUGAAGCAACAAAUGCCCUGCUUCCAGGAAAAGCCUCUAAGCAUCAGGUAACAUCAAAUCGUACCCCAAACCGACACAGGUGGUCAGGUAGAGAAUACCAAGGCGCUUGAGAGAACUCGGGUGAAGGAACUAGGCAAAAUGGUGCCGUAACUUCGGGAGAAGGCACGCUGACACGUAGGUGAAGUGAUUUACUCAUGGAGCUGAAGUCAGUCGAAGAUACCAGCUGGCUGCAACUGUUUAUUAAAAACACAGCACUGUGCAAACACGAAAGUGGACGUAUACGGUGUGACGCCUGCCCGGUGCCGGAAGGUUAAUUGAUGGGGUCAGCGCAAGCGAAGCUCCUGAUCGAAGCCCCGGUAAACGGCGGCCGUAACUAUAACGGUCCUAAGGUAGCGAAAUUCCUUGUCGGGUAAGUUCCGACCUGCACGAAUGGCGUAAUGAUGGCCAGGCUGUCUCCACCCGAGACUCAGUGAAAUUGAACUCGCUGUGAAGAUGCAGUGUACCCGCGGCAAGACGGAAAGACCCCGUGAACCUUUACUAUAGCUUGACACUGAACAUUGAGCCUUGAUGUGUAGGAUAGGUGGGAGGCUUUGAAGUGUGGACGCCAGUCUGCAUGGAGCCGACCUUGAAAUACCACCCUUUAAUGUUUGAUGUUCUAACGUGGACCCGUUACCCGGGUUGCGGACAGUGUCUGGUGGGUAGUUUGACUGGGGCGGUCUCCUCCUAAAGAGUAACGGAGGAGCACGAAGGUUGGCUAAUCCUGGUCGGACAUCAGGAGGUUAGUGCAAUGGCAU
RNAcentral lists this ribosomal RNA (1085 nucleotides) under Salmonella enterica. Its description in RNAcentral is "partial 23S ribosomal RNA". It matches the Rfam family "Bacterial large subunit ribosomal RNA", at positions 1292 to 2360 of the family's 2925-position model. Lineage: Bacteria; Pseudomonadati; Pseudomonadota; Gammaproteobacteria; Enterobacterales; Enterobacteriaceae. The record is from RNAcentral.